GGAGUUAGCCGGUGCUUCUUCUGUGAGUGAUGUCCUUCCUGCCGGCUAUUAACCCGCAGGCCUUCUUCCUCACUGAAAGUGCUUUACAACCCGAAGGCCUUCUUCACACACGCGGCAUGGCUGGAUCAGGGUUGCCCCCAUUGUCCAAUAUUCCCCACUGCUGCCUCCCGUAGGAGUCUGGGCCGUGUCUCAGUCCCAGUGUGGCUGAUCAUCCUCUCAGACCAGCUACGGAUCGUCGCCUUGGUGAGCCGUUACCUCACCAACCAGCUAAUCCGACAUAGGCUCAUCCGAUAGCGCGAGGCCCGAAGGUCCCCCGCUUUCCCCCGUAGGGCGUAUGCGGUAUUAGCCUGGGUUUCCCCAGGUUAUCCCCCACUACCGGGCAGAUUCCUAUGCAUUACUCACCCGUCCGCCGCUCGCCACCAGGGAGCAAGCUCCCCGUGCUGCCGCUCGACUUGCAUGUGUUAGGCCUGCCGCCAGCGUUCAAUCUGACGCGAGANACAACUCAGA
RNAcentral lists this ribosomal RNA (507 nucleotides) under uncultured bacterium. RNAcentral describes it as "partial 16S ribosomal RNA". The record is from RNAcentral.